GACAGAGGGGGCAAGCGUUGCUCGGAAUCACUGGGCGUAAAGGGCGCGUAGGCGGGAUGGCAAGUCAGUCGUGAAAUCUCUCGGCUCAACCGAGAAACGUCGGCUGAUACUGCCGUUCUUGAGGGAUGCAGAGGAGACUGGAAUUCCCGGUGUAGCGGUGAAAUGCGCAGAUAUCAGGAGGAACACCGGUGGCGAAGGCGGGUCUCUGGGCCGUAACUGACGCUGAGGAGCGAAAGCAUGGGGAGCGAACAGG
RNAcentral lists this ribosomal RNA (253 nucleotides) under uncultured bacterium. RNAcentral describes it as "partial 16S ribosomal RNA". It matches the Rfam family "Bacterial small subunit ribosomal RNA", at positions 524 to 776 of the family's 1533-position model. The record is from RNAcentral.